GAUGAACGCUGGCGGCGUGCCUAAUACAUGCAAGUCGAGCGAACGGACGAGAAGCUUGCUUCUCUGAUGUUAGCGGCGGACGGGUGAGUAACACGUGGAUAACCUACCUAUAAGACUGGGAUAACUUCGGGAAACCGGAGCUAAUCCCGGAUAAUAUUUUGAACCGUAUGGUUCAAAAGUGAAAGACGGUCUUGCUGUUACUUAUAGAUGGAUCCGCGCUGCAUUAGCUAGUUGGUAAGGUAACGGCUUACCAAGGCAACGAUGCAUAGCCGACCUGAGAGGGUAAUGGCCCACACUGGAACGGAGAAACGGCCCGGACUCCUACGGGGGGAGGCAGUAGGGAAUCUUCCGCAAUGGGCGAAAGCCUGACGGGGCAACGCCGCGGGAGUGAGGAGGGUCUUCGGAUCGUAAAACUCUGUUAUUAGGGAAGAACAUAUGUGUAAGUAACUGUGCACAUCUUGACGGUACCUUAUCAGAAAGCCACGGCUAACUACGUG
This 497-nucleotide ribosomal RNA is filed under the name uncultured bacterium. RNAcentral describes it as "partial 16S ribosomal RNA". It matches the Rfam family "Bacterial small subunit ribosomal RNA", at positions 28 to 507 of the family's 1533-position model. The record is from RNAcentral.